GAGAUUUCUGUGUUGCGCGUUACUCAGGGCCUUUGGACUUUGCAUUUGAGAUUUCGAGUCAGGUACCUGAAGUAGCGCGCGAAACGGAAAUAC
Non-coding RNA from Phlebotomus papatasi, 93 nucleotides. The record is from Rfam. Lineage: Eukaryota; Metazoa; Arthropoda; Insecta; Diptera; Psychodidae.